CCUACGGGUGGCAGCAGUGAGGAAUAUUGGUCAAUGGGCGGAAGCCUGAACCAGCCAAGUCGCGUGAGGGAAUAAGGCCCUACGGGUCGUAAACCUCUUUUGCCGGGGAGCAAGGGCGGGGACGUGUCCCGGCCCGGAGAGUACCCGGAGAAAAAGCAUCGGCUAACUCCGUGCCAGCAGCCGCGGUAAUACGGAGGAUGCGAGCGUUAUCCGGAUUUAUUGGGUUUAAAGGGUGCGUAGGCGGGCUUUUAAGUCAGCGGUAAAAAUUCGGGGCUCAACCCCGUCCGGCCGUUGAAACUGCCUUGCUGGAAUGCGGAUGCCGUGGGAGGAAUGUGUGGUGUAGCGGUGAAAUGCAUAGAUAUCACACAGAACACCGAUUGCGAAGGCAUCUCACGAAUCCGCGAUUGACGCUGAUGCACGAAAGCGUGGGUAUCAAACAGGAUUAGAUACCCCGGUAGUC
Molecule: ribosomal RNA, 460 nt
Filed under: uncultured bacterium
Lineage: Bacteria
Description: partial 16S ribosomal RNA
Rfam family: Bacterial small subunit ribosomal RNA
Source: RNAcentral